CGGGGAGUACCUCAGUUGGUAGAGGCGAAGCUUUGGGUGCUUCGAGUCGUGGGUUCGAGUCCCAUCUCCCCGACCA
RNAcentral lists this transfer RNA (76 nucleotides) under Planctomycetota bacterium. RNAcentral describes it as "Planctomycetes bacterium (activated sludge metagenome) tRNA-Pro". It matches the Rfam family "tRNA". From Rfam's summary of the family: Transfer RNA (tRNA) molecules are approximately 80 nucleotides in length. Their secondary structure includes four short double-helical elements and three loops (D, anti-codon, and T loops). Further hydrogen bonds mediate the characteristic L-shaped molecular structure. tRNAs have two regions of fundamental functional importance: the anti-codon, which is responsible for specific mRNA codon recognition, and the 3' end, to which the tRNAs corresponding amino acid is attached (by aminoacyl-tRNA synthetases). tRNAs cope with the degeneracy of the genetic code in two manners: having more than one tRNA (with a specific anti-codon) for a particular amino acid; and 'wobble' base-pairing, i.e. permitting non-standard base-pairing at the 3rd anti-codon position. Lineage: Bacteria; Pseudomonadati; Planctomycetota. The record is from RNAcentral. RNAcentral also lists the same sequence under 1 other name.